AGUGAACGCUGGCGGUAGGCCUAACACAUGCAAGUCGAACGGCAGCACAGUAAGAGCUUGCUCUUACGGGUGGCGAGUGGCGGACGGGUGAGGAAUACAUCGGAAUCUACUUUUUCGUGGGGGAUAACGUAGGGAAACUUACGCUAAUACCGCAUACGACCUACGGGUGAAAGCAGGGGAUCUUCGGACCUUGCGCGAUUGAAUGAGCCGAUGUCGGAUUAGCUAGUUGGCGGGGUAAAGGCCCACCAAGGCGACGAUCCGCAGCUGGUCUGAGAGGAUGAUCAGCCACACUGGAACUGAGACACGGUCCAGACUCCUACGGGAGGCAGCAGUGGGGGAUAUUGGACAAUGGGCGCAAGCCUGAUCCAGCCAUACCGCGUGGGUGAAGAAGGCCUUCGGGUUGUAAAGCCCUUUUGUUGGGAAAGAAAAGCAGCAGGUUAAUACCCCGCUGUUCUGACGGUACCCAAAGAAUAAGCACCGGCUAACUUCGUG
RNAcentral lists this ribosomal RNA (492 nucleotides) under uncultured bacterium. RNAcentral's name for it is "partial 16S ribosomal RNA". It matches the Rfam family "Bacterial small subunit ribosomal RNA", at positions 29 to 507 of the family's 1533-position model. The record is from RNAcentral.